CAGUGAUAAACUGGAGGAAGGUGGGGAUGACGUCAAGUCAUCAUGGCCCUUACGACCAGGGCUACACACGUGCUACAAUGGCGCAUACAAAGAGAAGCGACCUCGCGAGAGCAAGCGGACCUCAUAAAGUGCGUCGUAGUCCGGAUUGGAGUCUGCAACUCGACUCCAUGAAGUCGGAAUCGCUAGUAAUCGUGGAUCAGAAUGCCACGGUGAAUACGUUCCCGGGCCUUGUACACACCGCCCGUCACACCAUGGGAGUGGGUUGCAAAAGAAGUAGGUAGCU
Molecule: ribosomal RNA, 283 nt
Filed under: Salmonella enterica
Lineage: Bacteria; Pseudomonadati; Pseudomonadota; Gammaproteobacteria; Enterobacterales; Enterobacteriaceae
Also listed under: 2 other names
Description: partial 16S ribosomal RNA
Rfam family: Bacterial small subunit ribosomal RNA
Source: RNAcentral